Fukomys damarensis (Damara mole-rat) is the source of this 663-nucleotide long non-coding RNA. RefSeq lists it as uncharacterized. Lineage: Eukaryota; Metazoa; Chordata; Mammalia; Rodentia; Bathyergidae. The transcript is spliced from 3 exons. The record is from RefSeq and is a predicted model, not a curated record.
AAGAGCCCUGCCAGCCCUGCCCUUGCGCAAGAUGAGAUCCAGGGGAAAUGGACGCUGUCUUUGCUCAGGAAACAUCUGGUUGAUCCACUAGUCCUCGGGCGGGUCACAGGCUGUUUUAUAAGUUAGCGGGGCAGAAUAGGAUGGGAAGACAAUGGCGCUUCGGCGAUUACUCAACCUCACCCUCACCGUCGAGUUACGGACCAGAAUGAGAAGUGAGGAAUCGGCCUCCCUAGCAGGCGCUGUCCUCCGGGGACCGGUGCCUCCGAAGCGCAGCCACAUUUCCUAGUUUGUAAUGGGAAACGAACGCUGUGUACAGGCGCUUAAAGUAGCUGGAACGGGAACCCGAGCCAAGCUGCAGAGAGGCGGGCGAGCUCCUCUUUGGAAGCUUUCAGCAGUCCCCUCAUUCUUCAAUACCAGACCUGAAAUACCGGCUCCUAAAGGAGGAGAAUAUUCACUCUCCCUUGGAAAAUGAAACUCCGCAUUCAUGGCAUCAAUUUUGACCUUGCAAAGACCUGGGAAUAUCAUUAUCAGUAAUCUCCUCCAUGCUGUGGUUGACAAAACUUGAGCCCACAGGACCGCAUCACUCAACACUCGCAGAGGAAACGCCAUCUGGACGCACUGAUUAUGAUCUGUCACGGUGCUCCCAGUACCAGGUGCCAUACA